This 605-nucleotide ribosomal RNA is filed under the name metal-contaminated soil clone K20-81. Its description in RNAcentral is "bacterial SSU rRNA". It matches the Rfam family "Bacterial small subunit ribosomal RNA", at positions 52 to 677 of the family's 1533-position model. Lineage: Bacteria; Bacillati; Chloroflexota. The record is from RNAcentral.
CGCAUGCAAGUCGAACGGGGAUUCUUGGAGCAAUCUAGGGAUUCUAGUGGCAAACGGGUGAGUAACACGUAGGUAUCUACCCUGAAGUGGGGAAUAACGGAUCGAAAGGUUCGCUAAUACCGCAUAUCAUCGAGAGAUGAAAGUUGUGCCUCUGGCACGACGCUUUGGGAGGAACCUGCGGUCGAUCAGGUAGUUGGUGAGGUAACGGCUCACCAAGCCGAUGACCGAUAGCUGAUCUGAGAGGAUGACCAGCCACACUGGCACUGAGACACGGGCCAGACUCCUACGGGAGGCAGCAGCGAGGAAUAUUGCGCAAUGGAGGCAACUCUGACGCAGUAACGCCGCGUGGGGGACGAAGACCUUCGGGUUGUAAACCUCUUUUAAGAGAGACGAGUGAGGACGGUAUCUCUGGAAUCAGUCUCGGCUAACUACGUGCCAGCAGCCGCGGUAAGACGUAGGAGGCGAGCGUUAUCCGGAUUCACUGGGCGUAAAGCGCAUGUAGGCGGCUGGGAAAGUCAGUUGUUAAAGCCCCUGGCUCAACUGGGGGAGGUCAACUGAGACUAUUCGGCUUGAGGGCAGCAGAGGCGCGUGGAACUCCCGGUGUA